Nicotiana tabacum (common tobacco) is the source of this 223-nucleotide non-coding RNA. The record is from RefSeq and is a predicted model, not a curated record. Lineage: Eukaryota; Viridiplantae; Streptophyta; Magnoliopsida; Solanales; Solanaceae.
CGGAUUCUUAAUUUGUCCUCUCAAAUAAUAUUUUUUUUCAUUCUCUUCAUCUUCGCAGUUGGGUGUUGCAACUUUCAGAGCAUUGCUAACCGAAUGAUGUGAUUUAUCCCUUGAUAGAGAAAUAUGCUCACAUCAGGUUAAACUACCCAGCAGAACUAAGAGCAAAAUUCACUUGCCAUGUUACAGAUGACUAAAGCCUCUCCUCCAACACUUAAAUUGGUAA